GCCGUAUCGGUUCGAUCGGGAUACUCAUCAAAUAACGUUGAAACUCGGUGUGUCUUCUCUUGCCAAUGGCGGGCCACUAACCAAGCGUAUGCACCAUUUUAUGCCGGUGGAUUACAAAGGCGGAGAGCACCCUUAACUUGUAAUAAAGGAGUUUUCAUCACAUCAUCGGUGCGGCCCC
RNAcentral lists this small RNA (178 nucleotides) under uncultured Prevotella sp. RNAcentral's name for it is "Bacteroidales-1 6S-Bacteroidales RNA suggested". It matches the Rfam family "Bacteroidales-1 6S-Bacteroidales RNA suggested". The record is from RNAcentral. Lineage: Bacteria; Pseudomonadati; Bacteroidota; Bacteroidia; Bacteroidales; Prevotellaceae.